GACGUAGGGCGCGAGCGUUGUCCGGAUUUAUUGGGCGUAAAGAGCUCGUAGGCGGCUUGUUGCGUCGUCCGUGAAAACCCGGGGCUCAACCCCGGGCCUGCAUUCGAUACGGGCAGACUAGAGUUCGGUAGGGGAGUCUGGAAUUCCUGGUGUAGCGGUGAAAUGCGCAGAUAUCAGGAGGAACACCGGUGGCGAAGGCGGGACUCUGGGCCGAUACUGACGCUGAGGAGCGAAAGCGUGGGGAGCAAACAGG
RNAcentral lists this ribosomal RNA (253 nucleotides) under uncultured bacterium. Its description in RNAcentral is "partial 16S ribosomal RNA". It matches the Rfam family "Bacterial small subunit ribosomal RNA", at positions 524 to 776 of the family's 1533-position model. The record is from RNAcentral.